RNAcentral lists this ribosomal RNA (374 nucleotides) under uncultured Sphingobacteriales bacterium. RNAcentral's name for it is "bacterial SSU rRNA". It matches the Rfam family "Bacterial small subunit ribosomal RNA", at positions 1005 to 1382 of the family's 1533-position model. Lineage: Bacteria; Pseudomonadati; Bacteroidota; Sphingobacteriia; Sphingobacteriales. The record is from RNAcentral.
AAAGUUGGUUUCUUCGGACACUCUUCAAGGUGCUGCAUGGUUGUCGUCAGCUCGUGCCGUGAGGUGUCGGGUUAAGUCCCAUAACGAGCGCAACCCUUACUGUUAGUUGCCAGCGGGUCAAGCCGGGAACUCUAACGGGACUGCCACCGUAAGGUGAGAGGAAGGUGGGGAUGACGUCAAAUCAGCACGGCCCUUAUGUCCAGGGCUACACACGUGUUACAAUGGUCGGUACAAAGGGCAGCUACACCGCGAGGUGAUGCUAAUCUCUAAAGCCGGUCUCAGUUCGGAUCGAAGUCUGCAACCCGACUUCGUGAAGUUGGAUUCGCUAGUAAUCGCGCAUCAGCCAUGGCGCGGUGAAUACGUUCCCGGGCCUU